Long non-coding RNA from Glycine soja, 596 nucleotides. RefSeq lists it as uncharacterized. The record is from RefSeq and is a predicted model, not a curated record. NCBI's taxonomy places the organism in Eukaryota, Viridiplantae, Streptophyta, Magnoliopsida, Fabales, Fabaceae. The transcript has 4 exons.
UUAAGGUCUCAUAUAUAUGCAUGAAAGGUACCUCCUCUAUGAGAAAGGAUAAGAAACCUAGUUAACUACAGAAUUCCCACUUAGUUUCUCAUCAAAUAGAAAGAGAAAGAGAGACAGGGAGAGCAUUUCAUGGUGGAAGGAAGGUAUCACAAUAGCAGACUGGCAGAGGCGUCCCACCACAUUUCCUAAGAGGUUCAGGCUUGCAAAGGACACAACAUUUGGGCAAAGGCACUUGAAUAAGUGGAGUCAGUCAUCAUUUUCCUUAUGGAUGGCAUUUGCAAGGAUUGUAAACCACUAUUUUGUGAACAAUGUUGGACAGAAUUGAUAAAAUAAGGCAUAUGAACACCACAAUUGUUCAGGUGGUUCCAGAUGCAGGGCAUUCAGCCAAUGAACCAGCAUAACUGAUGAACUCGUGGCUACAAAUGAGAAAUUGAAAAACAUAACCAAGACUAAAGGGGACUCAAGUGAGUGGACAGGCAAAUAGGAACUCCUGUAGCUUUAUUUGAACUACAUUCGGAUUACUUUUGAACCCGUAUCUUUUGGUUGAAUAUUUGUAGAUUUGUUUUAUUUAUUCAAAUGCAUUUUUUUUAUGUAAC